This 136-nucleotide microRNA precursor is filed under the name Hordeum vulgare. RNAcentral's name for it is "microRNA MIR1122". It matches the Rfam family "MIR1120/MIR1122 microRNA precursor family". The record is from RNAcentral. Lineage: Eukaryota; Viridiplantae; Streptophyta; Magnoliopsida; Poales; Poaceae.
UAUGUACUCCCUCCGUCCCAAAAUUCUUGUCUUAAAUUUGUCUAGAUAUGAAUGUAUCUUGUCAUGUUUUAGUAUUUAGAUACAUCCAUUCUUAGACAAAAUUAAGACAAGAAUUUUGGGACGGAGGAAGUAUGAU